GCUUUAAGUGUGCUUCUCUUUUACAUCGCCUUCAUCAGGUCUGGUUUUCUCAGGUUAGGUUGAAACUUGUGGGUCUGUAGCAAUUCAAUAUGCCUGAAAACAAGCCUGUAAUUGGGCUUUCAUGGGAACCAAAGUUACCUCAAUUAUCAUUUGGGACCAAAAAGAGCUCCAAUGAGGUGCCUGGGGCAAGUGCAGUAUACAAACCUAGUUCGGAACUCAUGGACGGCCUAUUUGUUCCGCCCAAUGAUCCCAAAAAGGUGAACAAGCUUCUACGAAAACAAAUCAAGGAUACAACUGGCAAAAAUUGGUUUGAUAUGCCUGCCCCAACGAUUACUCCAGAGCUGAAAAGAGAUCUCCAGCUGUUAAAGCUAAGGGGUGCCAUGGAUCCGAAAAGGCAUUACAAGAAGAGUGGCUCAAAAUCAAAAACAUUACCUAAAUAUUUCCAGGUCGGCACAGUAAUAGAGCCAGCAUCUGAAUACUACUCUGGUAGACUGACUAAGAAGGAGAGAAAGACAACACUUACUGAGGAGCUACUUUCUGACCGUAAACUUGGGGAGUACAGGAAACGCAAAGUUCGCGAGAUUGAAGAACGCAAUCGGCCAGGUGGAGUUGACAAGUGGAAGAACAGAGGUCCACAGUCAAGGAAGCGUGCAAAGCAAAGGAGGCAUUGAAGCUAUAGUGUUCACGAAACGUUUCUUACCAGUUUCCCGUCUGACCAGUCGAAGAGCAUUGGAAUCUUUAAUGAGAGGUGUACCUGCCAUUCUGGAAAAACUAUUAGGAUGUGCCGUAAACAAGGCAAGUUUCACAAAACAUCUACAAAUCCUUGAUGCUAAUUACACCGGCAUACUUCUAAUACGUGUUUCUAGCACUCCAACAGAAAUAGUCGUCAUCAAUUUUGAACUGUGUUACUGAUGUUCGUCGUGUAUAUUUGCCUUCUCAUGGCUUAUUCUAUUCUUAUUGUUCUGGUAUCAGAAUGUUAAGUUGUAUUGUUGUUU
This 995-nucleotide unclassified non-coding RNA is filed under the name Hevea brasiliensis (rubber tree). The record is from RNAcentral. Lineage: Eukaryota; Viridiplantae; Streptophyta; Magnoliopsida; Malpighiales; Euphorbiaceae.